CAGCAGCCGCGGGAAUACGUAGGUGGCGAGCGUUGUCCGGAUUUAUUGGGCGUAAAGGGAGUGUAGGCGGUCUUUUAAGUCUGAUGUGAAAGCCCACGGCUCAACCGUGGAGGGUCAUUGGAAACUGGGAGACUUGAGUGCAGAAGAGGAGAGCGGAAUUCCAUGUGUAGCGGUGAAAUGCGUAGAUAUAUGGAGGAACACCAGUGGCGAAGGCGGCUCUCUGGUCUGUAACUGACGCUGAGGCUCGAAAGCGUGGGGAGCAAACAGGAUUAGAUACCCCUGUAGUCCCUGUCUCUUAUAC
This 301-nucleotide ribosomal RNA is filed under the name uncultured bacterium. RNAcentral's name for it is "partial 16S ribosomal RNA". It matches the Rfam family "Bacterial small subunit ribosomal RNA", at positions 509 to 807 of the family's 1533-position model. The record is from RNAcentral.